UAGUCUGUGUUUGGGGUGGGGCUAUUUUAGCAUACAUACACGAUUACAAAGCUAAGUUCAGGCACAUCAAGAAAUAGUUGUCUAUACAUUUCUUAUCAGAAGGGGAAAUAUGUUAGGAAGGAUUGCGUUAGUCUCACUGCUUGUAGGAAUAGCGGUAGCACAAGACCAGUGUAGUUCGACAGUGAACCCAGUUUACUGUGGUGUGUGUUGUCCAUCCAUAAACGGAUGUUGUGCGACCACAAGUAAUCCCUUGUCCACGGAUGAGGUGUGCUGUGCAAUGGAGGCAAACAAUGCAGCCCGUGAUUGUGGCUCUACAAGAUGUCCUGAUCGCCUCCCUUCAGAUUUGGUGUAUGACUCGGCUGUCACACCAGCCGAGUUAAGAAACCAGUGCUGCGUCUAUUUCAGAGACGGCUGCUGCAGCGAAAGUGAAAACAGUUUUCUGGACCUGCUGUUUAAGUUGGCCCUUGGUCUAGGAAUUGGACUUGGUGGUCUACUAGUGAUCAUCCUGUUGCUGGUGGUGUGUUGCUGCUGCUGUAUUUGCUGUGACUAGCACAUGAAGUAGACACCUGAAGUAGACACCUAACACAUACAUGAUGUAUGAAUGAGUAUAAUUAUUUUGUGAUAUAUUUUUUAAUGUUUUUAUCUCCUAUACUUUGUGUGCGCGUGCUCAUGGUAAAAACAACAACUGUAAAUGGAGUGUUUCA
This is a long non-coding RNA of Halichondria panicea, 704 nucleotides long. RefSeq lists it as uncharacterized. Lineage: Eukaryota; Metazoa; Porifera; Demospongiae; Suberitida; Halichondriidae. The record is from RefSeq and is a predicted model, not a curated record. The transcript has 3 exons.